GUUGACGUAGCUUAACUACAAAGCAUGGCACUGAAGAUGCCAAGAUGAAUCGUUAAAAAUUCCGGCGACA
This 70-nucleotide transfer RNA is filed under the name Heteroconger hassi (spotted garden-eel). RNAcentral describes it as "tRNA-Phe". It matches the Rfam family "tRNA". From Rfam's summary of the family: Transfer RNA (tRNA) molecules are approximately 80 nucleotides in length. Their secondary structure includes four short double-helical elements and three loops (D, anti-codon, and T loops). The record is from RNAcentral. Lineage: Eukaryota; Metazoa; Chordata; Actinopteri; Anguilliformes; Congridae.